CACAGGGCAAAGUGCUCAGAGAAGCUGAAGGCUGAACUUUCAGCCUUUUGACUGACCCCUAAAGCACUUUGGCUUCUCUGUGGACAACCCUGCUUCUCAAGGAACUGCAUUAUAUUAUCUGCGAAAAGAAGUUGGAAAUACUAAACGGGGACAGCACCAGGCAGGCACAAGCCUCCAGGGAGUAAUGCCACCAAAGGAGAGGAAGAGCCACAUUUCCAAAGGUAAAAGACAGGCCUUCAUCAUGGAGCUGUGUUUUACUUGGGGCUGAAAUACAGUGAAUUAUGGAGAAUUUGAUGAUUCAGAAAGAACACAGAAGAUGGCACAAUGAUUGAAAAUGAGCUCCAUAAGAAGACCAGAGGAAGUGGGAGUCUCUGGGUGAUGGAAAGAGGACAGUGAAGGCUAAGUAAGGCAAGACCUGGUAGUAAGUAGCAUUCAUACACAGUAUAAUGUCAUUUACAGAAAUUCAGAACACAUACAUGUUCAUUCAUAAAGUUACCUUCAGAAAUUGUCAGGUGUGAGGGGCGCCUGAAUGGCUCAGUCAGUUAAGUGUCUGACUCUUGGUUUCGGCUCAGGUCAUGAUCUCAUGGUUUGUG
This is a long non-coding RNA of Felis catus (domestic cat), 593 nucleotides long. RefSeq lists it as uncharacterized. NCBI's taxonomy places the organism in Eukaryota, Metazoa, Chordata, Mammalia, Carnivora, Felidae. The transcript has 3 exons. The record is from RefSeq and is a predicted model, not a curated record.